AACGAACGCUGGCGGCAGGCUUAACACAUGCAAGUCGAACGAGAUCUUCGGAUCUAGUGGCAGACAGGUGAGGAACACGUGGGAACAUUCCUUUCAGUUCGGAAUAACGUUGGGAAACUAACGCUAAUACCGGAUACGCCCUUCGGGAGAAAGAUUUAUCGCUGAAAGAUUGGCCCGCGUCUGAUUAGCUAGUUGGCGAGGUAACGGCUCACCAAGGCUACGAUCAGUAGCUGAUCUGAGAGGAUGAUCAGCCACAUUGGGACUGAGACACGGCCCAAACUCCUACGGGAGGCAGCAGUGGGGAAUAUUGGACAAUGGGCGCAAGCCUGAUCCAGCCAUGCCGCGUGAGUGAUGAAGGCCUUCGGGUUGUAAAGCUCUUUUGUCCGGGAAGAUAAUGACUGUACCGGAAGAAUAAGCCCCGGCAAACUUCGUGCCAGCAGCCGCGGUAA
This 449-nucleotide ribosomal RNA is filed under the name uncultured bacterium. RNAcentral describes it as "partial 16S ribosomal RNA". It matches the Rfam family "Bacterial small subunit ribosomal RNA", at positions 29 to 523 of the family's 1533-position model. The record is from RNAcentral.